RNAcentral lists this ribosomal RNA (586 nucleotides) under uncultured bacterium. RNAcentral describes it as "partial 16S ribosomal RNA". It matches the Rfam family "Bacterial small subunit ribosomal RNA", at positions 355 to 1375 of the family's 1533-position model. The record is from RNAcentral.
UGGGGAAUUUUGGACAAUGGGCGAAAGCCUGAUCCAGCAAUGCCGCGUGUGUGAAGAAGGCCUUCGGGUUGUAAAGCACUUUUGUCCGGAAAGAAAUCCUCUGGGUUAAUACCUCGGGGGGAUGACGGUACCGGAAGAAUAAGCACCGGCUAACUACGUGCCAGCAGCCGCGGUAAUACGUAGGGUGCAAGCGUUAAUCGGAAUUACUGGGCGUAAAGCGUGCGCAGGCGGUUUUGUAAGACGGAUGUGAAAUCCCCGGGCUUAACCUGGGAACUGCAUUCGUGACUGCAAGGCUAGAGUAUGGCAGAGGGGGGUAGAAUUCCACGUGUAGCAGUGAAAUGCGUAGAGAUGUGGAGGAAUACCGAUGGCGAAGGCAGCCCCCUGGGCCAAUACUGACGCUCAUGCACGAAAGCGUGGGGAGCAAACAGGAUUAGAUACCCUGGUAGUCCACGCCCUAAACGAUGUCAACUAGUUGUUGGGGAUUCAUUUCCUUAGUAACGUAGCUAACGCGUGAAGUUGACCGCCUGGGGAGUACGGUCGCAAAGAUUAAAACUUAAAUGAAUUGACGGGGUCAUAGCUGUUUCCU